Molecule: ribosomal RNA, 197 nt
Filed under: uncultured bacterium
Lineage: Bacteria
Description: partial 16S ribosomal RNA
Rfam family: Bacterial small subunit ribosomal RNA
Source: RNAcentral
ACGCUCGACACCUACGGAGGCAGCAGUGGGGAAUAUUGCACAAUGGGGGGAACCCUGAUGCAGCGACGCCGCGUGAGUGAAGAAGUACUUCGGUAUGUAAAGCUCUAUCAGCAGGGAAGAAAAUGACGGUACCUGACUAAGAAGCCCCGGCUAACUACGUGUCAGCAGCCGCGGUAAUCUGAGCGGGCUGGCAAGGC